UACGUAGGGUGCAAGCGUUGUCCGGAAUUAUUGGGCGUAAAGAGCUCGUAGGCGGUCUGUCGCGUCUGCUGUGAAAUCUGGGGGCUCAACCCCCAGCCUGCAGUGGGUACGGGCAGACUAGAGUGCGGUAGGGGAGAUUGGAACUCCUGGUGUAGCGGUGGAAUGCGCAGAUAUCAGGAAGAACACCGAUGGCGAAGGCAGAUCUCUGGGCCGUAACUGACGCUGAGGAGCGAAAGCAUGGGGAGCGAACAGG
Molecule: ribosomal RNA, 253 nt
Filed under: uncultured bacterium
Lineage: Bacteria
Description: partial 16S ribosomal RNA
Rfam family: Bacterial small subunit ribosomal RNA
Source: RNAcentral